Long non-coding RNA from Brassica napus (rape), 2154 nucleotides. RefSeq lists it as uncharacterized. NCBI's taxonomy places the organism in Eukaryota, Viridiplantae, Streptophyta, Magnoliopsida, Brassicales, Brassicaceae. The record is from RefSeq and is a predicted model, not a curated record. The transcript has 3 exons.
AUGUAAAAGUAUUUGAUAAAAUUUGUUAAAUCUAGUUAACUUGUAAAAUCUUCUCAACUAUUAAAAUCAUCAAAUUCCACAGAAAUUCAUGUUCCAAUAAUUAAAAAUAAAUUAUCCAAUUUCAACCAAAUUUGCCUAUUAAAACCCUAGCAUUUUCUCCAUAUUCUUUACACAAAACAUCACAAACUUUGUAAAAGAAAGUGUUUAAUUUUUUUAUAGGGAUAUUACCUAUAAUAAUUCAAAUGAUACAUAUAAUGACUAUACUAAUGCAUAAACUUUCUUAAUUACUGUACUAGAUCACAUGGGUAACCAAAAUACAAAAAAACCAGCAUUCCUUUAAGUAUUAACGAAACUGCCAUUGAAUUAAUUUAAUAAUUAAUUGACUAAUAUUUUCCAAAAAAACCAAAACCCCUUUGUCGACACUUCUUCUCCUUCGUAAUCUCAGUUCACCUUUUCUCCACAUUGAACCUCCAUCUCCGACAACCUCAUCUCAGUUGCAGUCGCCUUGCGUUUCGUUACCUCCUCUCUAAGCCGGCGUCGUCCCUGCACACGAUGAACCCUAACUCCAAUUUGGCUUCGUCACAUCCGCCUCAAAAUCAAAGAAAAUUGAAACUGUAAGUGCUAAAUAUAUUCAUUUCUUAACAUAUUUUCUUUGAUUCCAUGUUAAAUUUCAAUAAUCCUAAUUUCCAAUUUUAUUUCUGACAAAUUGAAAACUGGUUCUGUUUUUUUUUUCUUUUCAAAACCCUAAUUAUCAGAUUGAAAAUCGAUUUGUCUUUUCUAAUUUCUAAUUUCUCUGUGUAUAAUCUGGAUGAAUGAUAUUUAUUAAGUUUGUUCUUUUUUUUUUUAAGGAAUGGCCUCAUCUUCGGGUACCAAGAAGUAUCCUCCGCGGCUUUACGAGAUUGGUAAAAUGCCUAUUCAAUCUCGGAGCAUGAACCACAGUUGUUUUCUGUCCAACCUUCAAGUAAUGAAAGAGUCUGUCGGUGAAGACGUUUGGCUUGAGUUAAGAGAAUCAGCUGUAGGCAUGAUUAUCAAACUGAAGGAGUUGGAGUACACUUGGUCUGCAAAACAUGUUCAUUAUUUUCUGGUGAAUCAAUUGGCGAUUCAGUGCAGUCAUGAAGUUUGGUCUUUGAUAGAAGACCAGCCAUUGAGGUUCUCUCCGUAUGAGUUUGAAGAUAUUACAGGGUUAAAUUGUGAUCCCUUUGACACGCAAGAACAAAGGGAUGUGGCUCAUGAAGACUUUUGGGUGGAGAUGAAAGUUCCAAUUUCUGAAGGACCCAAGUUGAAUGAACUUCAAGCCCUUUUUCCGAUCAUCAGAAAUUGGCCUAGAGAGAAGCGUGUAAUGGUUGGCUUGUUGUGUCUACUAUCCAUUGGCAUAUUUGGCAUUUCAAGCAAUAGUAGAAUACCUCUGCAUUUGGCGAAAAGGGUGAUGGAUCCAGCAGCUUUCCAGCGCCAUCCAUGGGGUCGUUUAGCAUUUACCAGCCUUGUGGAUUCUAUUAAAGUGGUGACAUACGAAGAAAAGAAGAGUUACACACUACAUGGCUGUGUUCAUGCAUUGCUUAUUUGAAUAUACGAGUCUGUGCCAGGUUUAGGAGAGAUAUAUGGGCAUCAAAUAGAGGAAGCUGAGGUUCCGCUUCUAUCAUGGCAUGGUUCUCGUCAGCGUAUCAACUUCCCAAACUUCUGUGCACAGGAAAAGAAAAAAUAUCAGAAGAUUCGUGUAAGGCAUAUGAUUGUAAAGGCAAUGGAGGAUAGAUAUCCGAAAUGGGGCGAAGAUAAACCGCCUGAUGAUUUGGAUAACAUGAUAGUUGACAUCCUCAAUGAUCAGCUAAAUGACAAGUUUUGGGAUGUAGUGCCACUUACCAAGUGCCAGAAGAGAAAAACUCAAGUCAGUGCACCUAGUGUUCCCGAAAGAGUGGAUACGAGCCCCUCCACAAAACGAAGGAAGGAGAAAGAAACUGCACCAGAAAUGGAAGAAUCUCAUACUGAUAUGCCCAUCAACAACAGCAUCAUACAAAAGUUGGUUGAGGCUGUUAACAACUUGUCUGGAAGAGUAGAAACCAUGGAUGUUAGUGUAGCUGAAAGGGUUACUAAGACAUUGGAAGCUUCUGUACAAGCUCAGGUGGAAGCUAGAAUGGCUUUAUUUGAGACUGAGAUGAA